RNAcentral lists this ribosomal RNA (469 nucleotides) under uncultured bacterium. RNAcentral's name for it is "partial 16S ribosomal RNA". It matches the Rfam family "Bacterial small subunit ribosomal RNA", at positions 28 to 507 of the family's 1533-position model. The record is from RNAcentral.
GACGAACGCUGGCGGCGUGCUUAACACAUGCAAGUCGAACGGUGAAGCGAGUGCUUGCACUCGUGGAUCAGUGGCGAACGGGUGAGUAACACGUGAGUAACCUGCCCAUCACUCUGGGAUAAGCACUGGAAACGGUGUCUAAUACUGGAUACGACCAACCCUUGCAUGGGGUGUUGGUGGAAAGAUUUAUCGGUGAUGGAUGGACUCGCGGCCUAUCAGCUUGUUGGCGGGGUAAUGGCCCACCAAGGCGACGACGGGUAGCCGGCCUGAGAGGGUGACCGGCCACACUGGGACUGAGACACGGCCCAGACUCCUACGGGAGGCAGCAGUGGGGAAUACUGCACAAUGGGCGAAAGCCUGAUGCAGCGACGCCGCGUGAGGGAUGACGGCCUUCGGGUUGUAAACCUCUUUCAGCAGGGAAGAAGCGAAAGUGACGGUACCUGCAGAAGAAGCACCGGCUAACUACGUG